RNAcentral lists this ribosomal RNA (734 nucleotides) under uncultured bacterium. Its description in RNAcentral is "bacterial SSU rRNA". It matches the Rfam family "Bacterial small subunit ribosomal RNA", at positions 9 to 738 of the family's 1533-position model. The record is from RNAcentral.
GAGUUUGAUCCUGGCUCAGGAUGAACGCUAGCGGCAGGCCUAAUACAUGCAAGUCGAACGGUAACAUGAGUAGCAAUACUUGAUGACGAGUGGCGCACGGGUGCGUAACGCGUAUGCAACCUACCUUUAACUGGGGAAUAGCUCAGAGAAAUCUGAAUUAAUACCCCAUAGUAUUAUUGAUUGGCAUCAAUUGAUAAUUAAAACUCCGGUGGUUAAAGAUGGGCAUGCGUGACAUUAGCUAGUUGGUGAGGUAAUGGCUCACCAAGGCUCCGAUGUCUAGGGGAUCUGAGAGGAUUAACCCCCACACUGGUACUGAGAUACGGACCAGACUCCUACGGGAGGCAGCAGUAAGGAAUAUUGGUCAAUGGACGCAAGUCUGAACCAGCCAUGCCGCGUGCAGGAUGACUGCCCUAUGGGUUGUAAACUGCUUUUGUACGGGAAAAAACCCUCGAUCGUGAUCGAGGCUGAUUGUACCGUAAGAAUAAGGAUCGGCUAACUCCGUGCCAGCAGCCGCGGUAAUACGGAGGAUCCAAGCGUUAUCCGGAUUUAUUGGGUUUAAAGGGUGCGUAGGCGGAAUAGUAAGUCAGUGGUGAAAGCCUGCAGCUUAACUGUAGAAUUGCCAUUGAUACUGCUGAUCUUGAGUACAUAUGAAGUGGGCGGAAUGUGUCAUGUAGCGGUGAAAUGCUUAGAUAUGACACAGAACACCGAUUGCGAAGGCAGCUCACUAAACUGUA